UCAAAUCACUAAUUAAAUCUCUCAUAAAUAUUGAGUCCAAAUCCGAUGGGUAAUCGGGCAUCAGAAUUCAUCGAUAUGUAAUCCUGAUCGAAGAGUCCUAAACCAGUGGGACUCUUGACCCCGGUACCCAAAAUGUGUGGAAUUCAUGAUCAAAGAAUCCUGAUUCUCGAUUACAGAAUCUCAGACAUGAAGGACUCUUCACCAGCUAUC
This 210-nucleotide long non-coding RNA is filed under the name Elaeis guineensis (African oil palm). RNAcentral's name for it is "long non-coding RNA (EGUI_LNC080387)". Lineage: Eukaryota; Viridiplantae; Streptophyta; Magnoliopsida; Arecales; Arecaceae. The record is from RNAcentral.